AGUGAACGCUGGCGGUAGGCCUAACACAUGCCAGUCGAACGGCAGCACAGUAAGAGCUUGCUCUUACGGGUGGCGAGUGGCGGACGGGUGAGGAAUACAUCGGAAUCUACUUUUUCGUGGGGGAUAACGUAGGGAAACUUACGCUAAUACCGCAUACGACCUACGGGUGAAAGCAGGGGAUCUUCGCACCUUGCGCGAUUGAAUGAGCCGAUGUCGGAUUAGCUAGUUGGCGGGGUAAAGGCCCACCAAGGCGACGAUCCGUAGCUGGUCUGAGAGGAUGAUCAGCCACACUGGAACUGAGACACGGUCCAGACUCCUACGGGAGGCAGCAGUGGGGAAUAUUGGACAAUGGGCGCAAGCCUGAUCCAGCCAUACCGCGUGGGUGAAGAAGGCCUUCGGGUUGUAAAGCCCUUUUGUUGGGAAAGAAAAGCAGCAGGUUAAUACCCCGCUGUUCUGACGGUACCCAAAGAAUAAGCACCGGCUAACUUCGUG
This 492-nucleotide ribosomal RNA is filed under the name uncultured bacterium. RNAcentral's name for it is "partial 16S ribosomal RNA". It matches the Rfam family "Bacterial small subunit ribosomal RNA", at positions 29 to 507 of the family's 1533-position model. The record is from RNAcentral.